AUAUAUAUAUAUAUAUAGGUUUUAUAUAUGGGACAAAGAAGUUAUUCUAACAGUUUGGACAUGAAAAAUGUCAAAUGUUCGAGGCACUCCGCACCUUUAUAAAGACACAAGAAUACAAAUACAAUCACAUGAUAUAUAAACAGUACUAGAAAAUACAAUAAGUUACAGUAAGACUAGUAUUGCUGGAAGUAGUUGAAAUAAUACCUCGGCAUUUGUACGCGCGGGACAUUUUCAGAUGUCUUGGCCGUUGGUCACAUAGCCUUCCGUCAUAAAAUUUGACAUUUUUCAUAUCCACACUGGUAGAAUUACUUCUUUGUCCCAGUAAUUUGUAUCCUGCAGACAAACUUUUGUAAGGAUCCAGUGUUACCCGGAUUCUUACCGUUAAUAUUACUUCUUUGACCAUAUAGGUUUAUAUAGGUAUACUGGACAUGACCAAAUACGGAGGGAAUUGUGAGGUAAUAUAUAUAUAGGUUUAUAUAGGUAUACUGGACAUGACCAAAUAUGGAGGGAAUUUGACGUAAUAUAUAAAGGAUUAUAUAGGUAAACUGGACAUGACCAAAUACGGAGCGAGUUGUGACGUAAUAUAUAUAUAGGUUUAUAUAGGUAUACUGGACAUGACCAAAUAUGGAGGGAAUUUGACGUAAUAUAUAAAGGAUUAUAUAGGUAAACUGGACAUGACCAAAUACGGACGGAAUUGUGACGUAAUAUAUAUAGGUUUAUAUAGGUAUACUGGACAUGACCAAAUACGGAGGGAAUUGUGACGUAAUAUAUAUAUAGGUUUAUAUAGGUAUACUGGACAUGACCAAAUAUGGAGGGAAUUGUGACGUAACAUAUAAAGGAUUAUAUAGGUAAACUGGACAUGACCAAAUACGGAGGGAAUUGUGACGUAAUAUAUAUAUAUAGGUUUAUAUAGGUAUACUGGACAUGACCAAAUAUGGAGGGAAUUGUGACGUAAUAUAUAAAGGAUUAUAUAGGUAAACUGGACAUGACCAAAUACGGAGGGAAUUGUGACGUAAUAUAUAAAGGAUUAUAUAGGUAAACUGGACAUGACCAAAUACGGAGGGAAUUGUGACGUAAUAUAUAUAUAGGUUGAUAUAGGUAAGCUGGACAUGACCAAAUACGGAGGGAAUUGUGACGUAAUAUAUAAAGGAUUAUAUAGGUAAACUGGACAUGACCAAAUACGGAGGGAAUUGUGACGUAAUGUAUAUAUAGGUUUAUAUAGGUAAACUGGACAUGACCAAAUACGGAGGGAAUUGUGACGUUAUAUAUGAAGGAUUAUAUAGGUAAACUGGACAUGACCAAAUACGGAGGGAAUUGUGACGUAAUAUAUAAAGGAUUAUAUAGGUAAACUGGACAUGACCAAAUACGGAGGGAAUUGUGACGUAAUAUAUAAAGGAUUAUAUAGGUAAACUGGACAUGACCAAAUACGGAGGGAAUUGUGACGUAAUAUAUAUAUAGGUUUAUAUAGGUAUACUGGACAUGGCCAAAUAUGGAGGGAAUUGUGACGUAAUAUAUGAAGGAUUAUAUAGGUAAACUGGACAUGACCAAAUACGGAGGGAAUUGUGACGUAAUAUAUAUAUAUAUAGGUUUAUAUAGGUAUACUGGACAUGACAAAAAAUGAAAGACUAAUAUUGUUUGCAUUCGUUAAAUAUACUUUCACUAAGUAUAUUUCAUUAUUAAAUUUACAUAACUUCUGUUAACUUAUUCACUGAAAUCCAAACAGUAGGAGUACGGGAAAUAAAAACCGUAACAUCAAUUAUGUUUAAUUGUUUUUUCUUUAAAAAAACAAGCCUUUAAUUGAAGUUUCUUACAAUGCUUUUCCUGUGUCAUCAAAGCUUCAAAAUAUGUUUUAAUUAAUUUCAUACAAAUAAAAGAUAUCUUUUAAAGA
This is a long non-coding RNA of Pecten maximus, 1888 nucleotides long. RefSeq lists it as uncharacterized. The transcript is spliced from 2 exons. NCBI's taxonomy places the organism in Eukaryota, Metazoa, Mollusca, Bivalvia, Pectinida, Pectinidae. The record is from RefSeq and is a predicted model, not a curated record.